GAUGAACGCUGGCGGCGUGCUUAACACAUGCAAGUCGAACGGUGAAGGCGGAGCUUGCUCUGCUGGAUCAGUGGCGAACGGGUGAGUAACACGUGAGCAAUCUGCCCCUGACUCUGGGAUAAGCGCUGGAAACGGCGUCUAAUACUGGAUACGAGCUGCGAAGGCAUCUUCAGCAGCUGGAAAGAAUUUCGGUCAGGGAUGAGCUCGCGGCCUAUCAGCUUGUUGGUGAGGUAAUGGCUCACCAAGGCGUCGACGGGUAGCCGGCCUGAGAGGGUGACCGGCCACACUGGGACUGCGACACGGCCCAGACUCCUACGGGAGGCAGCAGUGGGGAAUAUUGCACAAUGGGCGAAAGCCUGAUGCAGCAACGCCGCGUGAGGGACGACGGCCUUCGGGUUGUAAACCGCUUUUAGCAGGGAAGAAGCGAAAGUGACGGUACCUGCAGAAAAAGCGCCGGCUAACUACGUG
This 468-nucleotide ribosomal RNA is filed under the name uncultured bacterium. RNAcentral's name for it is "partial 16S ribosomal RNA". It matches the Rfam family "Bacterial small subunit ribosomal RNA", at positions 28 to 507 of the family's 1533-position model. The record is from RNAcentral.